GACGAACGCUGGCGGCAUGCCUAAUACAUGCAAGUCGAGCGAACAGAUGAAGUGCUUGCACUUCUGACGUUAGCGGCGAACGGGUGAGUAACACGUAAGGAAUCUGCCUAUAAGCGGGGGAUAACAUUCGGAAACGGGUGCUGAUACCGCAUAAUAUCUUCUUCCGCAUGGAAGAAGAUUGAAAGACGGCUCUGCUGUCACUUAUAGAUGACCUUGCGGUGCAUUAGUUAGUUGGUGGGGUAACGGCCUACCAAGACGAUGAUGCAUAGCCGACCUGAGAGGGUGAUCGGCCACAUUGGGACUGAGACACGGCCCAAACUCCUACGGGAGGCAGCAGUAGGGAAUCUUCCGCAAUGGGCGAAAGCCUGACGGAGCAAUGCCGCGUGAGUGAAGAAGGCCUUCGGGUCGUAAAACUCUGUUAUAAGAGAAGAACGAAUUGUAGAGUAACUGCUACAGUCUUGACGGUAUCUUAUCAGAAAGCCACGGCUAACUACGUGCCAGCAGCCGCCGUAA
RNAcentral lists this ribosomal RNA (513 nucleotides) under uncultured bacterium. RNAcentral's name for it is "partial 16S ribosomal RNA". It matches the Rfam family "Bacterial small subunit ribosomal RNA", at positions 28 to 523 of the family's 1533-position model. The record is from RNAcentral.